GAUGAACGCUGGCGGCGUGCCUAAUACAUGCAAGUCGAGCGAACGGACGAGAAGCUUGCUUCUCUGAUGUUAGCGGCGGACGGGUGAGUAACACGUGGAUAACCUACCUAUAAGACUGGGAUAACUUCGGGAAACCGUAGCUAAUACCGUAUAAUAUUUUGAACCGCAUGGUUCAAAAGUGAAAGACGGUCUUGCUGUCACUUAUAGAUGGAUCCGCGCUGCAGUAGCUAGUUGGUAAGGUAACGGCUUACCAAGGCAACGAUGCAUAGCCGACCUGAGAGGGUGAUCGGCCACACUGGAGCUGAGGCACGGUCCAGACUCCUACGGGAGGCAGCAGUAGGGAAUCCUGCGGAAUGGGCGAAAGCCUGACGGAGCAACGCCGCGUGAGUGAUGAAGGUCUUCGGAUCGUAAAACUCUGUUAUUAGGGAAGAACAUAUGUGUAAGUAACUGUGCACAUCUUGACGGUACCUAAUCAGAAAGCCACGGCUAACUACGU
Molecule: ribosomal RNA, 496 nt
Filed under: uncultured bacterium
Lineage: Bacteria
Description: partial 16S ribosomal RNA
Rfam family: Bacterial small subunit ribosomal RNA
Source: RNAcentral